Molecule: unclassified non-coding RNA, 300 nt
Filed under: uncultured Amanita
Lineage: Eukaryota; Fungi; Basidiomycota; Agaricomycetes; Agaricales; Amanitaceae
Description: sequence contains ITS2
Rfam family: 5.8S ribosomal RNA (bases 1-52)
Source: RNAcentral
AACGCAUCUUGCGCUCCUUGGUAUUCCGAGGAGCAUGCCUGUUUGAGUGUCAUUCAAGUAUCUCAAAAGACCUUAUGCAGUAUGCAGGGAACUUUUGGACAUUGGGAGUUGCUGGUCACUGAUAAAAGUGGUUGGCUCUUCUGAAAAGCAUUAGUUGAGGAGCUUUUUGUGCUCUAUUGGUGUGAUAGAGUGAUCUAUGCCAGGAGAAGCAUUAAUGAAGCCUCUGCUGUCUAACAGUUGUAAUUGGACAAUAUGAUAAAAUUUGACCUCAAAUCAGGUAGGACUACCCGCUGAACUUAA